CAAGUCGAGCGAGAACCAGGGCUUCGGCCCCGGGGACAGCGGCGAACGGGUGAGUAACACGUGGAUAACCUGCCCUCGGCACCGGGAUAGCCCGGGGAAACCCGGAUUAAUACCGGAUGGCCCUUCCGGCUCACGAGCCGGUCGGAAAAGGUAGCUUCGGCCUCCGGCCGAGGAUGGGUCCGCGGCGGAUUAGCUUGUUGGUGGGGUAACGGCCUACCAAGGCUCCGAUCCGUAGCUGGUCUGAGAGGACGAUCAGCCACACUGGGACUGAGACACGGCCCAGACUCCUACGGGAGGCAGCAGUGGGGAAUCUUGCACAAUGGGCGAAGGCCUGAUGCAGCGACGCCGCGUGAGGGAGGAAGGCCUUCGGGUUGUAAACCUCUUUCAGGAGGGACGAAGCUACUCGGGUUAACAGCCCAGAGGGUGACGGUACCUCCAGAAGAAGCCCCGGCUAACUACGUGCCAGCAGCCGCGGUAAUACGUAGGGGGCAAGCGUUGUCCGGAUUUACUGGGCGUAAAGAGCGUGUAGGCGGCCAAACAGGUCCGUUGUGAAAACUGGAGGCUCAACCUCCAGACGUCGACGGAAACCGUGUGGCUAGAGUCCGGUAGAGGAGAGUGGAAUUCCUGGUGUAGCGGUGAAAUGCGCAGAUAUCAGGAAGAACACCAAUGGCGAAGGCAGCUCUCUGGGACGGUACUGACGCUGAGACGCGAAAGCGUGGGGAGCGAACAGGAUUAGAUACCCUGGUAGUCCACGCCGUAAACGAUGGGUGCUAGGUGUGGGAGGUGUCGACUCCUUCCGUGCCGUAGCUAACGCAUUAAGCACCCCGCCUGGGGAGUACGGCCGCAAGGCUAAAACUCAAAGGAAUUGACGGGGCCCCGCACAAGCAGCGGA
This 892-nucleotide ribosomal RNA is filed under the name uncultured Actinomycetes bacterium. Its description in RNAcentral is "bacterial SSU rRNA". It matches the Rfam family "Bacterial small subunit ribosomal RNA", at positions 58 to 936 of the family's 1533-position model. The record is from RNAcentral. Lineage: Bacteria; Bacillati; Actinomycetota; Actinomycetes.